UAGCCGUAAACGAUACUCGCUAGGUGUCGGCCACGGUGCGACCGUUGUCGGUGCCGUAGGGAGGCCGUGAAGCGAGCCACCUGGGAAGUACGGCCGCAAGGCUGAAACUUAAAGGAAUUGGCGGGGGAGCACAACAACGGGUGGAGCUUGCGGUUUAAUUGGAUUCAACGCCGGAAAUCUUACCGGGACCGACAGCAACAUGAAGGCCAAGCUGAAGACUUUGCCGGAUUAGCUGAGAGGAGGUGCAUGGCGUAGACGUCU
RNAcentral lists this ribosomal RNA (261 nucleotides) under uncultured archaeon. RNAcentral describes it as "partial 16S ribosomal RNA". It matches the Rfam family "Archaeal small subunit ribosomal RNA", at positions 748 to 1009 of the family's 1478-position model. The record is from RNAcentral.